Molecule: non-coding RNA, 664 nt
Organism: Zootermopsis nevadensis
Lineage: Eukaryota; Metazoa; Arthropoda; Insecta; Blattodea; Termopsidae
Source: RefSeq, a predicted model, not a curated record
CGCGGCUGUUAUUGAAGUGGAUAACGAGGCAAUGAUAACAUUCGAAUGUGCACACGGAAGUGAACCGAAAUUAACCAGUCACACCGACGUCCUUCAGGCCAUCAACGGACUGAAGGUUGGCAAGUCUCCGGGCCCCAACGGUAUACCGAACAGGGUCCCGAGACAUUUUCCGGGCGUGCGAUAACCCUUCUCACGAAAGUGUUCAACGCGGUCCUCCGUAUACACCACUUCACCUCGCUGACUGCAUCAAGAAAUGUUCCCUGAAGGACCCAGAAUUCAAUGCGUGCGCCUUGAAGAGUGCCAGAGCUGCAAUUCCACACCUCAUUAACGUUUUAGCGGGACAGUGGAACGUGAUUUACAGUCGCCAUGAAUACGUCCCUCUUGCUUCUCGUACUUGCCAGCGCCACGGCUCUCAAAUUACCUAAGUACGUAAAGAAAUGCUCCAUUAAGGACCAGAAUUUCAACACGUGUGCCCUGGAGAGCGCCAAAGAUGCUUUGCCACGUCUCAUUAAAGGUUGGUGUUUCCAAGUUCCAGCAGUGUUCUCACAUUAAUUUCUGAAACUAGUAUCAAAAAUAAAUGCAAGUUUCUUUUAAUUACUUACAUACCUGAAUGCAUGUCUUUAAAAUAAAUUAUCUGAUUUCGGAAUGUAAUUUUGUUUCACUU